AACCCUUUAUUUUUUUUUUUUUAUUCUUCAUCUUCGUCUUCACUCUGCUUUUACUCAAGCAAAUUAGGUCAGAAUUUUGAUCGAGAAUAGGAGAGAAAAAGGUGAAGAUGAAGUGAAUUGAAGACAAAAGCAGCCGUUUGGUGGCUUUCUUCAGGAGGCAAAAUAGAUUGGCGAAGAAGGCUCGCGAACUCUCCGUUCUUUGCAAUGUUGAAAUCGGUGUAAUCAACUUCUCUAGCAUCGACAAUAAUCUCUACAAGUUCUGUAGCAAUGACAGUUUGGUAAAGAUUCUCAAAGAAUAUCAGACGCAUCUUGAAGGGGUAGCUACAUUUGUUGGGUCAAGUUUGUAGUGCGGUUGUUGUAAGAAGACUUUCUCUCGUAAGGAAACACAUCUUUAAUUGAUUGUCGCUUAUGGGUCCAUAAAAUAUGACGAUUCUAUGCCCUUGGCUACUGAAUUUCUUAGGUGCAAAAAUGCUAUCCAUUGGUAUUGUUUUAUGGCUUAUGUAGAUAGCGUUCAUACACAUUCGCAUUGAGAUUAGAUGUGAAUAUAUCCAAAUAUUAGAAUAGUAUCUGCAUUUCAACUACAAUGGUUUCUAGUUCCCUAAUUGGGUAGUUUAUAGUCCUCCAUGUCCUUUUGUUUUCCUUUCUCUUUUCAAUAUCUAGUUAUUUGGUGCUUCUAUGGCUGCAAUCUUUUUGAACCGUCUAAUUUGUCUAGUGGAAGAAAAGGUGAACUAAUGAAGUAAUCUAAUUUUCGAGUUUAAUGCAACAGCUAAAUGUUGCGAUUAGAACUGAUAUUUUGAAGUCUGAGAACCUAACGAGUUCUGGAUUGGGUGUGCAUAGUUAGUCAAACGAAUUUACACAAGCGAUUAUAGGAAAAUUUAAUUGCAACUGAAAUUUUCUUCGUAGAUUGAAAGUUUGGGGUACAAAUUGGUCUGCAUUCUUCAGGAAAGGGAACCUAUUGUGGCCUUGUAUGUUACAUAUGAGAUGAAAAUGCUGGCUUUCUCAGGUUCUACUCAUGGCUAAACCAAGGAUGAAUUUGAGGAGAUCAAGCCAUUAAGGGAUGAGUCCUUGAAAGCCUUAAAUGUAGAUUUCCUGGAGACUCUAGGAAUUGCAAGAGUUAGCGACCAUAGUCUACCAUUAUCCAAAAUAGCACCUGUACAAGUUGUACAUAUAGAAUAGGAGAGGUGAAACUUCUAUUGUCGUUGGUUCCUUCUUUUGGGAGAAACAUAUUAAGUAGGCUGUUACAUUUUUUAUAUUGGAUAUGUAGUUUAUUUUCUUUGCCGUACUUGCUUCAAUGUUAUUCUUUAUAUUGGAUUAUUAUGAAUAUGUUAUAUUGUUAUUAUUAUAAAAUUUCAUUUCAUUUUCACUGUUAUUAAA
This is a long non-coding RNA of Hevea brasiliensis (rubber tree), 1374 nucleotides long. RefSeq lists it as uncharacterized. Lineage: Eukaryota; Viridiplantae; Streptophyta; Magnoliopsida; Malpighiales; Euphorbiaceae. The record is from RefSeq and is a predicted model, not a curated record. The transcript has 2 exons.